Molecule: ribosomal RNA, 141 nt
Filed under: uncultured bacterium
Lineage: Bacteria
Description: partial 16S rRNA
Rfam family: Bacterial small subunit ribosomal RNA
Source: RNAcentral
UGGGGAAUUUUCCGCAAUGGGCGAAAGCCUGACGGAGCAAUGCCGCGUGGAGGUGGAAGGCCUACGGGUCGUCAACUUCUUUUCUCGGAGAAGAAACAAUGACGGUAUCUGAGGAAUUAGCAUCGGCUAACUCUGUGCCCG